CCAGUAGUUGACCAGCAGCUGACCAGUAGUUGACCACAGGUUGCCCAUGAGGCUGCAGUGUGCCCUGGUGGCCAAAAAGACCCAUGGUUGACCAGUGGUUGACCAACAGUUCAUCUGUAGUUGACCAAUGGUUGCUCACGAGGCAGCAUUCAUCUGUAGUGGCCAAAAAGACCCAUGGUUGACCAGUGGUUGACCAUCAGUUCAUCUGUAGUUGACCAAUGGUUGCUCACGAGGCAGCAGUGUGCCCUGGUGGCCAAAAAGACCCAUGGUUGACCAAUGGUUGACCAGCAGUUCAUCAGUAGUUGACCAAUGGUUGCCCAUGUGGCAGCAGUGUGCCCUGGUGGCCAAGAAGACCAGUAGUUGACUAAUAGUGGAACCGUGGUUGACCAACGGUGGCUCAUGAGGCAGCACUGUGCCCUGGUGGCCAAAAAGACCCAUGGUUGACCAGUAGUUGACCAACAGUUCAUCUGUAGUGGCCAAAAAGAUCCAUGGUUGACCAAUGGUCAACCAACAGUUCAUCUGUAGUUGACCAAUGGUUGCCCACGAGGCAGCAUGUGCCCUGGUGGCCAAAAAGACCCAUGGUUGACCAGUGGUUGACCAACAGUUCAUCUGUAGUGGCCAAAAAGAUCCAUGGUUGACCAAUGGUCAGCCAACAGUUCAUCUGUAGUUGCCCAAUGGUUGCUCAUGAG
RNAcentral lists this long non-coding RNA (689 nucleotides) under Gallus gallus (chicken). RNAcentral's name for it is "lncRNA (ENSGALG00010003758.1)". The record is from RNAcentral. Lineage: Eukaryota; Metazoa; Chordata; Aves; Galliformes; Phasianidae.